RNAcentral lists this ribosomal RNA (328 nucleotides) under uncultured Actinomycetes bacterium. RNAcentral describes it as "bacterial SSU rRNA". It matches the Rfam family "Bacterial small subunit ribosomal RNA", at positions 28 to 354 of the family's 1533-position model. Lineage: Bacteria; Bacillati; Actinomycetota; Actinomycetes. The record is from RNAcentral.
GACGAACGCUGGCGGCGUGCUUAACACAUGCAAGUCGAACGAGGUCCAUGGAGCUUGCUCCGGAAGAUCUAGUGGCGAACGGGUGCGUAACACGUGAGAAACCUGUCCCGGACUUGGGAAUAACAGUCGGAAACGACUGCUAAUACCGAAUACCUUCGGAUCGUCGCAUGGCGAACCGAAGAAAGCGUAUGCGGUUCGGGAGGGUCUCGCGGCCUAUCAGCUAGUUGGUGAGGUAACGGCUCACCAAGGCAUCGACGGGUAGCUGGUCUGAGAGGAUGAUCAGCCACACUGGGACUGAGACACGGCCCAGACUCCUACGGGAGGGCAG